UACAGAGGGUGCAAGCGUUAUUCGGAAUUACUGGGCGUAAAGCGCAUGUAGGUGGGUUAUCAAGUCAGAUGUGAAAUCCCUGAGCUCAACUUGGGAAUUGCAUUUGAAACUGAUAGUCUUGAGUGUGGAAGAGGAAAGUGGAAUUCCUGGUGUAGAGGUGAAAUUCGUAGAUAUCAGGAGGAACACCUGAGGCGAAGGCGGCUUUCUGGUCCGCAACUGACACUGAGAUGCGAAAGCGUGGGGAGCAAACAGG
Molecule: ribosomal RNA, 253 nt
Filed under: uncultured bacterium
Lineage: Bacteria
Description: partial 16S ribosomal RNA
Rfam family: Bacterial small subunit ribosomal RNA
Source: RNAcentral